This 676-nucleotide ribosomal RNA is filed under the name Enterobacter hormaechei. RNAcentral's name for it is "partial 23S ribosomal RNA". It matches the Rfam family "Bacterial large subunit ribosomal RNA", at positions 1 to 722 of the family's 2925-position model. The record is from RNAcentral. Lineage: Bacteria; Pseudomonadati; Pseudomonadota; Gammaproteobacteria; Enterobacterales; Enterobacteriaceae.
GGUUAAGCGACUAAGCGUACACGGUGGAUGCCCUGGCAGUCAGAGGCGAUGAAGGACGUGCUAAUCUGCGAAAAGCGCCGGCGAGGUGAUAUGAACCCUUGACCCGGCGAUGUCCGAAUGGGGAAACCCAGUGUGUUCCGACACACUAUCGUUAACUGAAUACAUAGGUUAACGAGGCGAACCGGGGGAACUGAAACAUCUAAGUACCCCGAGGAAAAGAAAUCAACCGAGAUUCCCCCAGUAGCGGCGAGCGAACGGGGAGCAGCCCGGAGUCUGAAUCAGCUUGUGUGUUAGUGGAACGGUCUGGAAAGUCCGACGGUACAGGGUGAUAGUCCCGUACACGAAAACACACUUGCUGUGAACUCGAAGAGUAGGGCGGGACACGUGGUAUCCUGUCUGAAUAUGGGGGGACCAUCCUCCAAGGCUAAAUACUCCUGACUGACCGAUAGUGAACCAGUACCGUGAGGGAAAGGCGAAAAGAACCCCGGCGAGGGGAGUGAAAAAGAACCUGAAACCGUGUACGUACAAGCAGUGGGAGCACCUUCGGGUGUGACUGCGUACCUUUUGUAUAAUGGGUCAGCGACUUAUAUUCUGUAGCAAGGUUAACCGUAUAGGGGAGCCGAAGGGAAACCGAGUCUUAACUGGGCGUUAAGUUGCAGGGUAUAGACCCGAAACC